UGGGGAAUAUUGCACAAUGGACGGAAGUUUGAUGCAGCGACGCCGCGUGGAGGGUGUAGGCCUUCGGGUUGUGAACUCCUUUUUCUCGCGAAAAAGGCACAGUUUUGGCUGUGUUGAUGGUAGUGGGGGAAGAAGCGCCGGCUAACUACGUGCCAGCAGCCGCGGUAAUACGUAGGGCGCGAGCGUUGUCCGGAUUUAUUGGGCGUAAAGAGCUCGUAGGUGGUUCGUCGCGUCUGUCGUGAAAGCCAGCAGCUUAACUGUUGGUCUGCGGUGGGUACGGGCGGGCUUGAGUGCGGUAGGGGUGACUGGAAUUCCUGGUGUAGCGGUGGAAUGCGUAGAUAUCAGGAGGAAUACCGGUGGCGAAGGCGACUUACUGGACUUAAACUGACGCUCAGGCACGAAAGCGUGGGGAGCAAACAGG
RNAcentral lists this ribosomal RNA (421 nucleotides) under Fusobacteriota bacterium. RNAcentral describes it as "Fusobacteria bacterium partial 16S ribosomal RNA". It matches the Rfam family "Bacterial small subunit ribosomal RNA", at positions 355 to 776 of the family's 1533-position model. Lineage: Bacteria; Fusobacteriati; Fusobacteriota. The record is from RNAcentral.